AGCGAACGUUUGCGGCGGGCCUAACACAUGCAAGUCGAACGGGCAGUCCCCUUCGGGGGCGUGUCAGUGGCGGCACGGGUGGCGUAACACGUAGGUAAUCAACCCUCGGGUUCGGGAUAACACUUCGAAAGGGGUAGGCUAAUACCGGAUGCGACGAGCGUCUCCUCGGAGAUGCACGGGAAAGAUCCGCAAGGGUCGCCCGAGGACGAGCCUGCGGCCCAUCAGCUUGUUGGUGAGGUAAUGGCUCACCAAGGCUAAGACGGGUAGGCUGGUCUGAGAGGAUGAUCAGUCACACUGGAACUGAGACACGGUCCAGACUCCUACGGGAGGCAGCAGUGGGGAAGUAUUGCGCAAUGGGCGAAAGCCUGACGCAGCCACGCCGCGUGAGCGAUGAAGGCC
Molecule: ribosomal RNA, 399 nt
Filed under: uncultured bacterium
Lineage: Bacteria
Description: bacterial SSU rRNA
Rfam family: Bacterial small subunit ribosomal RNA
Source: RNAcentral